RNAcentral lists this ribosomal RNA (433 nucleotides) under uncultured bacterium. RNAcentral describes it as "partial 16S ribosomal RNA". It matches the Rfam family "Bacterial small subunit ribosomal RNA", at positions 29 to 507 of the family's 1533-position model. The record is from RNAcentral.
AACGAACGCUGGCGGCAUGCCUAACACAUGCAAGUCGAACGAGACCUUCGGGUCUAGUGGCGCACGGGUGCGUAACGCGUGGGAACCUGCCCUUAGGUUCGGCAUAACUCCCCGAAAGGGGUGCCAAUACCGGAUAAUGUCUUCGGACCAAAGAUUUAUCGCAUUUGGAUGGGCCCGCGUUGGAUUAGCUAGUUGGUAGGGUAAAAGCCUACCAAGGCGACGAUCCAUAGCUGGUCUGAGAGGAUGAUCAGCCACACUGGGACUGAGACACGGCCCAGACUCCUACGGGAUGCAGCAGUGGGGAAUAUUGGACAGUGGGCUAAAGCCUGAUCCAGCAAUGCCGCGUGAGUGAUGAAGGCCUUAGGGUUGUAAAGCUCUUUUACCCGGGAUGAUAAUGACAGUACCGGGAGAAUAAGCUCCGGCUAACUCCGUG